This 501-nucleotide ribosomal RNA is filed under the name uncultured Glomus. Its description in RNAcentral is "SSU rRNA". It matches the Rfam family "Eukaryotic small subunit ribosomal RNA", at positions 569 to 1075 of the family's 1831-position model. The record is from RNAcentral. Lineage: Eukaryota; Fungi; Glomeromycota; Glomeromycetes; Glomerales; Glomeraceae.
AGCAGCCGCGGUAAUUCCAGCUCCAAUAGCGUAUAUUAAAGUUGUUGCAGUUAAAAAGCUCGUAGUUGAAUUUCGGGAUCAAUACGUCGGUCGUGCUUCGGUACGUACUGGCGUAAUUGAUUUCUCCCUUCUGACGAACCAUGAUGUCAUUAACUUGGUGUCAUGGGAAAUCAGGACUGUUACUUUGAAAAAAUUAGAGUGUUUAAAGCAGGCUCACGCUUGAAUACAUUAGCAUGGAAUAAUGAAAUAGGACGUUCGAUCCUAUUUUGUUGGUUUUUAGGAUCAACGUAAUGAUUAAUAGGGAUAGUUGGGGGCAUUAGUAUUCAAUUGUCAGAGGUGAAAUUCUUGGAUUUAUUGAAGACUAACUACUGCGAAAGCAUUUGCCAAGGAUGUUUUCAUUAAUCAAGAACGAAAGUUAGGGGAUCGAAGACGAUCAGAUACCGUCGUAGUCUUAACCAUAAACUAUGCCGACUAGGGAUCGGAUGAUGUAAUUUUUACGAC